Myxocyprinus asiaticus (Chinese sucker) is the source of this 4228-nucleotide RNA transcript. RefSeq lists it as uncharacterized. The record is from RefSeq and is a predicted model, not a curated record. The transcript is spliced from 3 exons. NCBI's taxonomy places the organism in Eukaryota, Metazoa, Chordata, Actinopteri, Cypriniformes, Catostomidae.
GAAGAAGGAUGAGAGCUCCAAAGCAGCAUGCAAUCUGUGAUCGGAGAAAGGAUGUGCGUCAAUCAGAGCGAGGAAUCAGCUGGCCAUCAUCUCAAGCACCAAUCACAGUCAGCCUUUCACAACAUCCAUAAAUCUUCAAUGUUCAGGCUUCACUUGCUGUCCCAAGAUAAAUCAAACUGAGAGCAGACCAACAUCCUUUGCCAGUUUCCUGUAACCAAAGAGAUAGUCAGUUCAGCCAAUCCCCAGCCAGAACUGUGUGGAAUGGAUUCCUGAACCCUCUAUGAAUUUCCUUCCCUGAGAAAAGUUAUCUUCCAAAUUACUAGAGCCAAAGCACUCAGUGGUAAUGCUCAUUGGGAAUACUUCUAUGAAGCAUUAACUUUAUUCUGGGGGAAAAACACCAGGAGUCGCCGCCAGUACUUGAUUCAAUUCCUCUGAUUAUUGCUGCAUUCUCCAGAACAGAUGUUCAGCCAUGACAGACUACAUUUGCCUCUGCAGAGACACUUCUCGCAGGUGUGGUUGACAGACGAAUGCUGAUGAGUAUCUCUGGAGUGACAGCAGUGAUGGCAACUGAACUGGCCACUGAAAGUACUGUUCUGCAAACUCCAGCCCAAAUGGUGGACAGCAACAGAAACCUGACUGUUUUGAAGACAAGCGAUGUGCCUUUCAGGAAGCCAUCUUCUUUGAAUCAGUCAUCUCAGAGUUGUAGGACAUCGGCUUUGCCUCAGGUCUGCUGGGGCUUGGAGCUCAACAUGGCCAUGCUGUUGAUGGUCUUGGCUGGACUGUUAAUCUUGGUGUUACUUUACCGGGUGCUCCUCCUGCGCCACAGACUCCGUGUUGCUCAGGCUGGGAAUGCUCUGGAAUACUUUGGGUUUUACCACAUGGCUCAGUAUGAUUUAAAGCAACCAGGCCAACCACCUCUACCUGAAGCAGCUCCACAGGUUUCCACUUCUUCUGUUACCAUUCCUUCCCCUUCACCUGUUAUCCGACCUCCUUCCAUCCAUCCUCCUCUCCACCUCUCUCCUCCACCUCCAGCACACCUGUUGUAUCUGCCUCUCCCCAUUAUCCACACCACGCCACCCAGCCCCCACCCAUCAUGUGGGGCAGGCUCGGAUGCAGAGGUGUACUCACGGAUCAACGUUCUGCGGCCUUCCAGACCAUCCAGUGUGAGUCAAACUCAAGUGAUCCUGUUUGAACAUUCUGCUCUUUAAUAGUGUGAUUUUUUCAGACUAAGCAGACACUGCAAAUUUCACUCCAGCUGUUUAAACUUAAGCAUAAUGAUAUUUAAAGGGUUAGUUCACCCUCUCAAGUUGUUCCAAACCUGUUUGACUUUCAUUCAUCUGAGAAACACGAUGAACUUUUACUUCUGUGUUCCACUGAUUAAAGAAAGUCAUAUGGGUUUUAAACAGCUUGAGGGUGAGUAAAUGAUGACAAAAUGUUCAAUUUAGGGUGAAAAAUCCCUUUAAAGUGUACUGUCUUAGAUAGAUCAGACAAUGAAAAUGCACAAUACAUUUACAUAAUGCCCUUCAAAAGAUAUUAUGUUUGAUUGCUUUUUAUAUAUUUCCUGUAAUUAUUAUUUAAAAUGUUUUACAUUUAAAAAUAACUUUAAAUGUCUUUUUUAUGUUAUGCUUUCCUAUGUUAGGAAGAAGUAACAUAAAUGUUUUAAAAAACUUAUUUCUCUCUUUGUCCUGAAGUACACUGACUUAGUGAUUUCCUUUAAAGGGUGGGAUUUCCUGAGGACACUUUCCAUUGCUUUGUUUCUUUCUGCCUCUUAGGAUUUCAACAUUCCUUUCUGUCUCACUGUCUUAACAACUACACCCCCCCCCCCCCCCACAUAAAAUACAUAAAACUGUAUGUUAAUUAUGCUGUAAUACUGUGUAGAUUCAUACAUGAAAAUAUGUGGAAAUGUGUUGCUUUUCUUUUAAUUAGCUCUAAGAGAAGAACUAAUAUUUUUCUGAAUAUAUGAGUGAAUGGACAAUUCCACAAAACACCUUGAGGCAUCUGAUUGUGCGAACAUUUACAUGUAUUCAUAUGGCAGAUUCUUUCAUCCAAAGCGACUUGCAUUCAGGGUGUACAUUGUAUCAGUAUGUGAAUUCCCAAAGAACUGAACCCAUGACCUUGGCAUUGCUAACGCCAUGCUUCACCAGUUGAGCUACAGGAACUGAAUAAAGUAACAAUACACUGCAACAGAGCACUUUGUUAUCUCCAAAAUAUAUGUGUCCCUCAUGUGUGAACAUUCUAAAGCCAAAAGAUAUAUUUGAAUAAUUGAUGACUCACUUAAUGUAUAAUUUAGCUUUGUAAAGUAGCUGCAGGUGGUACACAUGAUAAUCGUGGAUGAAAAGUUCAAGACCUUUUCAUGAACUUAAAACUUGCCAUGGUUUGGUGCAUUAAUGUGCAUGGUCUGGUGCAUUAAUCAGGAUCUUUUGUAACAUUAAUUUCAAUGUGAAUAUUAUUAUUAGGUUGUUGUGUUUUUAUUUUAAUUUUUUAUUAGCUUUUUACAUUUACUAUUUUAUAUACUCUGUUCAUUUGCAGCCAAAAAAAUAAAAUCAAACUUAAUGAAUAAUAAUAAUAAAAAAAACUUCUCCAUAACUUUUGAUGUAUUAAAGUAAUUAAGUUGAACCCUUUAAGCUCUGAAGGUGUUUUUAAAGAUUUCCUGUUUCAGUAGCAUGCCAAAAGUUAAAGGCUUAUUACUCUCUCUUUGUUUGUUCCCAAUCGUGUCACCUGUAACAAGGGUUGGGGAGUAAUGAAAUACAAGUAACAGGAAUAUGUAUUUAAAAUACAAAAUAUAAGUAACUGUAUUCCACUACAGUUACAAAUUAAAUCAUUAGAAUACAGUUACAUUCAAAAAGUAUUUUGAUUACUGAAGAGAUUACUUUGCAUUUUAUUGUCAUUUGUUUCAUUUAAUAUUUAGUCCUUUCAGAUGGAAAACAUUUAUACAUAUAAAUGAUGCAAUCCAAAGUGCAUUUGAACAGCGGUGAAACACUUUCUUAUGAUGUGUUACAUUCAUAUGAGCAGACAGAGAAGUACGUUUGAAGUAAGUUUGGAGCAGAAGAAACAGAAAUAAACCUUGUGUAAAUUGUCAGCUUUACACUAAGCUAAAAUGCUAUUUCUAGCCAUUUUACAUGCAUGUUCCCAGGCACGAUCAUAUUUUUUUAAUAAUAUAAUAAUUUCUUUUUUUCUAGUAAGAACUUUGAUAUUAGGGCAAAAAUUGUAUUCUUGAUAAUAAUUAUUGUAUUGUUUUCCUGUAAAAAUAUCUACAAAUCCUUAAAACAAGAUCAGUUUGUCUUAUCUUGUUUUAGAAACAACACUGCAUAAGAUAUUUAGGCUUUUUUGAGGAUGUAUUUUUAACAAGUGUAUUUUGUCUUACUGUACUGGCAGAGUUUUUAUAGUCAAAACAAGUGAAAAAAUCUACCAGUGCUGAAGAAGUAAUCCAAAGUAUUUAGAAUAUGUUACUGACCUUCAGUAAUAUACUGAAAUACGUUACAAAUUACAUUUUACAGCAUGUAUUCUGUAAUCUGUAGUGGAAUACAUUUCAAAAGUAACCCUCCCAACCCUGCCUGUAAAUUUGUAAAAUUUUGUGUUGAUACAGCAAAGCAAUCAAAAGUUAGAGCAUUACAAAAAUAAUUUAUCUGAGUGUCCAAAGGUAAUGGACAUGGUAUUUAAUGUUUGUUUUCAUGAGUUCAAUGUUUAUCAAAAUAAAUAAAGCAAUACUUCUUCUAAGCCUCAUUCAUGUAAGUAUUUGAGAAUACCACUGGGUUAUUUACUUCCACAAGCAACCCUUAUUUUUUAUUCUUAUGCCUUAUUCAACACUGACACACUUUUUAUGGUUGAUUUCACUUGCAAUUAGGAAUCUGUCAAAUUAAUGUUGUUCUGGAUGGUGAGUUUGAAUAUUGAGGUGACAGGUGUAAUUCCUAUUUAGGAAACAAGCUUGAAUCUGUUCAUGUCUCAGGACAUAUUGUAUAAUGUAUGACUGUGAGUGUCUGAUUUUACACCAUGCUGUGCAUUUGUUUUUUAAAACUUGAUAGCCUGGGUUCUGAUAACAGUAUACAUGAAAAUGUGUAAGAUUAACAGUAUAAAUUUUGUAGUGAAAAACAAGCAUCUUGUCUGGGCCAUAUCAUUGCAAUGUUUGAUUGUUUCACAUACUGAUUACACCUUUUCCUUCAUAUUCUUUAGACUGUUCUAUUAAAAAUGGCAAAAAUCCCAAAAAUAAAAAAAGAAGAAUGAAAUACAA